RNAcentral lists this ribosomal RNA (209 nucleotides) under Orasema delicatula. RNAcentral's name for it is "partial 28S ribosomal RNA". It matches the Rfam family "Eukaryotic large subunit ribosomal RNA", at positions 967 to 1163 of the family's 3401-position model. Lineage: Eukaryota; Metazoa; Arthropoda; Insecta; Hymenoptera; Eucharitidae. The record is from RNAcentral.
UUUCCCUCAGGAUAGCUGGCACUCGCUCUGAGCGAGUCUCAUCUGGUAAAGCGAAUGAUUAGAGGCCUUGGGGCCGAAACGACCUCAACCUAUUCUCAAACUUUAAAUGGGUGAGAUCUCUGGCUUGCUUGAAACUUGAAGCCACGAGAUUAUCAUGGAUCAGAGUGCCAAGUGGGCCAAUUUUGGUAAGCAGAACUGGCGCUGUGGGA